ACGACCAUACCACAUUGAAAACAGCGGUUCUCGUCCGAUCACCGAAGUUAAGCAAUGUCGGGCCUGGUCAGUACUUGGGAGGGUGACCACCUGGGAACACCGGGUGUAGCUGUAGGCU
This 118-nucleotide ribosomal RNA is filed under the name Cordylochernes scorpioides. The record is from RNAcentral. Lineage: Eukaryota; Metazoa; Arthropoda; Arachnida; Pseudoscorpiones; Chernetidae.